RNAcentral lists this ribosomal RNA (468 nucleotides) under uncultured bacterium. RNAcentral's name for it is "partial 16S ribosomal RNA". It matches the Rfam family "Bacterial small subunit ribosomal RNA", at positions 28 to 507 of the family's 1533-position model. The record is from RNAcentral.
GACGAACGCUGGCGGCGUGCUUAACACAUGCCAGUCGAACGGAAGGGCCCUGCUUUUGUGGGGUGCUCGAGUGGCGAACGGGUGAGUAACACGUGAGUAACCUGCCCUUGACUUUGGGAUAACUUCAGGAAACUGGGGCUAAUACCGGAUAGGAGCUCCUGCUGCAUGUUGGGGGUUGGAAAGUUUCGGCGGUUGGGGAUGGACUCGCGGCUUAUCAGCUUGUUGGUGGGGUAGUGGCUUACCAAGGCUUUGACGGGUAGCCGGCCUGAGAGGGUGACCGGCCACAUGGGGACUGAGAUACGGCCCAGAAUGCUACGGGAGGCAGCGGUGGGGAAUAUUGCGCAAUGGGCGGAAGCCUGAGACAGCGACGCCGCGUGCGGGAUGACGGCCUUCGGGUUGUAAACCGCUUUCGCCGGUGACGAAGCGUGAGUGACGGUAAUGGGUAAAGAAGCACCGGCUAACUACGUG